GUGGUCAAGCUAAUAAGGGCUGAUGGUGGAUACCUAGGCACACAGAGGCGAUGAAGGACGUGGUUACCGACGAUAUACUCUGGGGAGUUGGAAGCAAGCAUUGAUCCAGAGAUUUCCGAAUGGGGCAACCCUAUAUACUGCCACCUGAAUUCAUAGGGUGGAAAGAGCGAACGCAGCGAAUUGAAACAUCUUAGUAGCUGUAGGAAGAGAAAACAAACGUGAUUUCCCAAGUAGCGGCGAGCGAAACGGAAACAGCCUAAACCAGAGUGCAUGCACUCUGGGGUCGUGGGACAGCGAUAUGGACUCAAGCGGCUAGACGAAGCAGUGGAAUGCUGCACCAGAGGGGGUGAAAGUCCCGUAGUCGAAAGCUUAAUGAUACUAGUUGAAUCCCGAGUAGCAUGGGGCACGGAGGAAUCCCAUGUGAAUCAGACGAGGACCAACCUCGUAAGGCUAAAUACUAACUGUGUGACCGAUAGUGAACCAGUACCCGCGAAGGGAAAGGUGAAAAGAACCCCGGAAGGGGAGUGAAAUAGAAGCAUGAAACCGUUAGCUUACAAGCAGUGGGAGGA
This 569-nucleotide ribosomal RNA is filed under the name Nostoc sp. HG1. RNAcentral's name for it is "partial 23S ribosomal RNA". It matches the Rfam family "Bacterial large subunit ribosomal RNA", at positions 1 to 581 of the family's 2925-position model. The record is from RNAcentral. Lineage: Bacteria; Bacillati; Cyanobacteriota; Cyanophyceae; Nostocales; Nostocaceae.